UACGUAGGGUGCGAGCGUUAAUCGGAAUUACUGGGCGUAAAGCGUGCGCAGGCGGUUAUAUAAGACAGAUGUGAAAUCCCCGGGCUCAACCUGGGAACUGCAUUAGUGACUGUAUAGCUGGAGUGCGGCAGAGGGGGAUGGAAUUCCGCGUGUAGCAGUGAAAUGCGUAGAUAUGCGGAGGAACACCGAUGGCGAAGGCAAUCCCCUGGGCCUGCACUGACGCUCAUGCACGAAAGCGUGGGGAGCAAACAGG
Molecule: ribosomal RNA, 253 nt
Filed under: uncultured bacterium
Lineage: Bacteria
Description: partial 16S ribosomal RNA
Rfam family: Bacterial small subunit ribosomal RNA
Source: RNAcentral